RNAcentral lists this ribosomal RNA (236 nucleotides) under uncultured bacterium. RNAcentral's name for it is "partial 16S ribosomal RNA". It matches the Rfam family "Bacterial small subunit ribosomal RNA", at positions 118 to 354 of the family's 1533-position model. The record is from RNAcentral.
UGAGCAAUCUGCCCUUCUCUUCGGAAUAAGCGUUGGAAACGACGUCUAAUGCCGAAUACGACCUCCUUUCGCAUGAUCGGAGGUGGAAAGCUCCGGCGGAGAGGGAUGGGCUCGCGGCCUAUCAGCUUGUUGGUGGGGUAAUGGCCUACCAAGGCGACGACGGGUAGCCGGCCUGAGAGGGCGACCGGCCACACUGGGACUGAGACACGGCCCAGACUCCUACGGGAGGCAGCAGG